This 897-nucleotide non-coding RNA is filed under the name Dendropsophus bromeliaceus (Teresensis' bromeliad treefrog). RNAcentral's name for it is "partial 12S ribosomal RNA". It matches the Rfam family "Bacterial small subunit ribosomal RNA". The record is from RNAcentral. Lineage: Eukaryota; Metazoa; Chordata; Amphibia; Anura; Hylidae.
GCUGUUACUUAAUAUACACAUGCGAGUCUCCGCACCCCCGUGAAAACGCCCUUACCCCAUAUAAUGGAUUAGGAGCCGGUAUCAGGCGCAAAAAUUAGCCCAAGACACCUAGCCCCGCCACACCCACACGGGCCCUCAGCAGUGAUUAACAUUGAAAAUAAGCGCCAGCUUGAAUCAGUUAAAGUAAAAAGAGCCGGCAAAUCUAGUGCCAGCCGCCGCGGUUAUACCAUGUGGCUCAAGCUGACUUCCUCCGGCGUAAAGCGUGAUUAAAGUGAUCUACCCCAGCAAUCAAAUUAAAAUUAAGCUGUGACACGCUUAUUCUUAAGAAGACCACAAACGAAAGUCAUUGCAACCAACUUGAACUCACGACAGUUAGGAAACAAACUGGGAUUAGAUACCCCACUAUGCCUAACCGUAAACUUUUAAUUACCCCCCCCAUCGCCUGGGAACUACGAGCAAAGCUUAAAACCCAAGGGACUUGACGGUACCCAACAUCCACCUAGAGGAGCCUGUCCUAUAAUCGAUAACCCCCGCUUUACCUCACCAUUUUUAGCCUACCAGCCUGUAUACCUCCGUCGUCAGCUUACCCCGUGAGCGUAAACUAGUGAGCUUAAUGCCCCAACGCCAACACGUCAGGUCAAGGUGCAGCACAUAAAAUGGGAAGAGAUGGGCUACACUAUCUAAAAUAGAUAAUACGAAAGACUAUAUAUGAAAACCAGUCAGAAGGAGGAUUUAGUAGUAAGAGGGAACUAAAGUGCCCCCCUUAACCUGGCACUGGGGUGUGUACACACCGCCCGUCACCCUCUUCAAAGCACCAAUUAAGUUAAUUACAUAACUACGCACACUAGAAGAGGCAAGUCGUAACAUGGUAAGUAUACCGGAAGGUGUGCUUGGUUA